Molecule: long non-coding RNA, 1217 nt
Organism: Lates calcarifer (barramundi perch)
Lineage: Eukaryota; Metazoa; Chordata; Actinopteri; Centropomidae
Exons: 3
Source: RefSeq, a predicted model, not a curated record
AAAUCUCCAAACAGAGAGAAAACAACGUCUGCACAAAGAAGCUUGUUCUCUGAGUGAAGACGCUGUAGUUUAUCUCGUAGAGAUCUGGUCAAACUGAGACAUCACAUCAUGUCCCGCCACAACAAACAUCAUUUUAUCUUCACGUCACGUCUGUCCCUGCCUGCUUUAAACUUUAUUUCAACUUUAUUUCAAUUCUACACAUUUAACUUUAGAGAAUUCUGACAGCUUUGAUUCAAAGUCAGGUUUUAUUUUAUAAAUUCUAUGUUCAUAUGCAGUCUGUGAGUGUAACACUAGUGUGCUCAAAGUGUCAACAAUAUUAAAGUAUACAUGAUGCAGAUCCAUAUCCAAACAUGUCUGUAUAAUAACUCCAGACACCUGGAUCCACGUCCUCUACAGCAGUCAGGACCAGUGAUCCUGGUUCAACUCCUCCUGUUCUCCAUGUACAACAUGAACGCAUCACGCUGCACAGCUCGUUACAUCAUCAGCAGAUUAAAGAAUGAGUAUUAACUUUCAGGGAGGGAAAGUAAAUACAACAGCCUCCGCUGAUUCGACCAAUCAGGAGCCGCUGCUGGCAGAGCAGAAUCAACGGACCAAUGAGCGUUUUGUUUGUCUACGUUGGCUGGCGUGUGUUGUCAUUGGCCGUGACGUGUGACGUAAUCCCGUGACCUACUCAGAGGAGACGGAAGAGAUGGCGGCAGGAAAACAAAGUGGGAGAAAAGAGUGAAAAUACGGAGUCAAACAGCGUUUGAGUCGUCGUUUCGUUGAUUUGGUUUGUUAGCAGUUUGAUAAAGUUCAGUACUGAAGAUGUCUGGGUAAAAUAAAACAAGCUCUGGAGCUGGACUGAGGCUGGACUCUGAGCACAGCUGCGACGGGAAGGUGUAUGGACAGAAACAACUGGAUUCACUGAAGUUGAAGGAGGAGGAGGCGGGAGAUCUCUACCUAAAGCAAGAGAGAGAACAACAGUGAUGAAGCUGUUACACACCACAGAAGAAGACCUCCACCAUCUUCCUGCUCAGCCACUUCUUGUAAAACACUGUUGAUCUCCUGUUGUUUAAGUGGAGACACUGUGUUCAAGCUAACAACACUAUAAUGUUAUGAGCUCAGACUGGGAGAUAAAAUCAAAGCGCCUCCUAGUGGUCAAUCAGCUGUCAUUAUCUGCUGUGAUUUGUUAUAAUGUUGUCUGGAACAAAAUCAUUAAAGGUUUCUCUGAUUUCAAA